CCAUUUUUUCCUCGUCUCUCUUUUUUGUCCAAGUGCAUCCUUCAAUAUGGUAUCAAAUGGGGCCGAUUCAAGUGUCAGUGGGUUAUUGGCUCUCCUUGUUUCUUUUCCUUGAGUUUUCUUUUCCUUUGUUUGGGAUAUAUGUCUGUUUCUAUUCCUGUAGUCACUUCAUCGGGGGAGGCUAACAAUGCCUCACAAAUCAAUCAGCAACUUUAAUUUGUUUUCUCCAAUAAAUAGGUGAGUGUCAGAUUGGAUAACCAUAAUUUCCUUCUCUAGAAACAGCAAGUCACGUUGAUGGUCUGUGGUCAUGAGUUGGAACACCUUUUAGAUGGGUUUGUUUCGGUGCCACCUGAGACGAUGAUUGGUGCUGAUGGAGAACUUAUGAUGAAUUUGGUGUUUUGUGUUCAUAAGAAGCUGGACAACUCUCUUGCCUCCUGGAAGUUGGACAGUUAGUUGGUGUUGAGACAUUUAUGGGUAUUUGGAAUACUAUUAUGCAACUUUAUUCUAAGUUGACCACAACUAGGGUUAUGAGUCUCCAUAGUCGGCUAAAGAACCUUAAGAAGGGGGAUUUGCCGAUUCGUGAUUUUUCCACAUAGAUUAAAGGAAUAUGUGAUCUGCUUACUUCGAGUGGAAGCCCUGUGUCUGAAGUUGAGUAAAUUGUGAUGCUCCUUAAUGGUUUUCCUAUGGAAUUUGAAUUGUUUGUGGCUGCGAUUAUGGUAAGUCGUGAUCCAUGUACUUUUGAAUCUGUAACCUCUGUGCUUAUUGAUGCAGAGUCUCACAUCGAUUAUCCUAUGAUAUUUCUGGUGUCGAUUAAUAUGGUGAGACAUGAUCGUGGGCGUGAGAGAAAUAAUGGGGAUAGGCCUUACUCUGGUGAUCAGACUGAUGAUACUCGUGGUAAAAACUCUUCCAGUAAUCAUUACAAAGGGCGGUUGCAACAUCAAUAUCAGCUAUGUGAGAAGCUUGGCCACUUAGUUUACUGGUGCUGCCAUAGGUUUGAUCAAGACUUUAAAAGAGUUUCUCCUCAACGCUCCAACUCCAGCAAUGAUGGGCAAGCCAAUGUUUAAAAAUAUACUUCUCAGUCUGCUGAGUUGUGCUAUAACCCUUUUGUGAGUUUCUCUGCAGGGUGUGAAGUUAUUGAUGAACCUGCUACUACGAACACGACUCAUGUUAACUCGCUUGUUGCAAAGGGUGUUCUUAAUAUGACAGGUACGGGAAAAGUAUAUUUGGGUGAUGGUUCGACCUUAAACAUAUCUAGUAUUGGGUGUACUUCGCUACCUGCUUUAUCUAGGUUAGCAUCAAAGGUGCUUGGACACAUCUCCCUUUUCAGAAGCUUUAUGGUAAAGCGCCAGAUUAUCAGCUCUGAGGGUUUUUGGUUGCCAAUGUUUUCCAUGUCUACGACCCUAUAACAAACAUAAAUUUGAUUUUCGCUCUAAAGCGUGUGUUUUCCUAAGAUACUCUCCUCAACACUGAGGGUACCAGUGCUUGGAUGCAAAGUUAUCAAAGGCUCAAGGCGCAUCGAGGCGCAAAGUGUCCUGGAGCCUUGAGGCGCGAGGCGCAUGAAAGGCGCGGGAUUCACGAAGGCGAGGCGCAUGAUAUCAAAAAAAUUGUAACACAUGUAUAUAUUAAUGCAAUCAAACUCAAAUAUCAUAGAUAUCCAAUAUUAGGCUUCAAUAGA
Hibiscus syriacus is the source of this 1672-nucleotide long non-coding RNA. RefSeq lists it as uncharacterized. The transcript has 3 exons. NCBI's taxonomy places the organism in Eukaryota, Viridiplantae, Streptophyta, Magnoliopsida, Malvales, Malvaceae. The record is from RefSeq and is a predicted model, not a curated record.